CAACCCCUAGUGAAAUUUCUGCAAGCUCAGAGCCUCGUUUUUGUAAUGUCUUUCUCCUCCCUCACCACAUUGUGCUUCUUCCACAUACCUCUCUGCUACCUAAUGAUAUUUAAAUUAGGGGUUGGGUUCCGAGGCGCUGCCAUUGCUACAAGCGUUUCAAAUUGGGUGAAUGUUACAAUUCUGGCUACCUAUGUGAGGUUCUCGCCCCACUGCAAGCAGACAUGGACUGGGUUAUCUCGGGAGGCUUUCGAAGACCUCGCGGGCCUUUUCACGCUUGCAGUCCCCUCC
This 288-nucleotide long non-coding RNA is filed under the name Physcomitrium patens. RNAcentral's name for it is "long non-coding RNA (PPAT_LNC008782)". The record is from RNAcentral. Lineage: Eukaryota; Viridiplantae; Streptophyta; Bryopsida; Funariales; Funariaceae.